GCAGGCUUGACCGAGAGGUUUAUGGUAGCGGCCUUGAACCCCGAAGGGCGAGAGCCCCGCAGGUUCGAAUCCUGCAGCCUGCGCCA
RNAcentral lists this transfer RNA (86 nucleotides) under bioreactor metagenome. RNAcentral describes it as "tRNA-Ser". It matches the Rfam family "tRNA". From Rfam's summary of the family: Transfer RNA (tRNA) molecules are approximately 80 nucleotides in length. Their secondary structure includes four short double-helical elements and three loops (D, anti-codon, and T loops). Further hydrogen bonds mediate the characteristic L-shaped molecular structure. tRNAs have two regions of fundamental functional importance: the anti-codon, which is responsible for specific mRNA codon recognition, and the 3' end, to which the tRNAs corresponding amino acid is attached (by aminoacyl-tRNA synthetases). tRNAs cope with the degeneracy of the genetic code in two manners: having more than one tRNA (with a specific anti-codon) for a particular amino acid; and 'wobble' base-pairing, i.e. permitting non-standard base-pairing at the 3rd anti-codon position. The record is from RNAcentral.